ACGGGUGAGUAACACGUAUCCAACCUGCCGUCUACUCUUGGACAGCCUUCUGAAAGGAAAGAUUAAUACAAGAUGGCAUCAUGAGUCCGCAUGUUCACAUGAUUAAAGGUAUUCCGGUAGACGAUGGGGAUGCGUUCCAUUAGAUAGUAGGCGGGGUAACGGCCCACCUAGUCUUCGAUGGAUAGGGGUUCUGAGAGGAAGGUCCCCCACAUUGGAACUGAGACACGGUCCAA
Molecule: ribosomal RNA, 233 nt
Filed under: uncultured bacterium
Lineage: Bacteria
Description: partial 16S ribosomal RNA
Rfam family: Bacterial small subunit ribosomal RNA
Source: RNAcentral